RNAcentral lists this ribosomal RNA (848 nucleotides) under uncultured microorganism. RNAcentral's name for it is "bacterial SSU rRNA". It matches the Rfam family "Bacterial small subunit ribosomal RNA", at positions 527 to 1382 of the family's 1533-position model. The record is from RNAcentral.
GUAGGAGGCGAACGUUAUUCGGAUUUACUGGGCGUAAAGGGAGCGUAGGCGGUCCUUCAAGUCAGAUGUGAAAUCUUCUGACUCAAUCAGAAGGGGCCAUUCGAUACUGAUGGACUUGAGAGCAACAGAGGGAAAUGGAAUCCCCAGUGUAGCGGUGGAAUGCGUAGAUAUUGGGGAGAACACCAGUGGCGAAGGCGAUUUCCCAGGUUGUUUCUGACGCUGAGGCUCGAAAGCGUGGGGAGCGAAGCGGAUUAGAUACCCGCGUAGUCCACGCCGUAAACGGUGGACACUAGAUAUAGGAGGUAUCGACCCUUUCUGUGUCGAAGCUAACGCUUUAAGUGUCCCGCCUGGGGAGUACGGCCGCAAGGCUAAAACUCAAAGGAAUUGACGGUAGACCGCACAAGCAGCGGAGCGUGUGGUUUAAUUCGAUGAUACGCGAAGAACCUUACCAGGGCUUGACAUGUCAGGAGUAGGAAUCCGAAAGGAGGACGACCUGUAUCCAGUCAGGAACUGUCACAGGUGCUGCACGGCUGUCGUCAGCUCGUGCCGUGAGGUGUUGGGUUAAGUCCCGCAACGAGCGCAACCCUUGUCCUAUGUUAAAUUCUCAUGGGAGACUGCCUUGUACAGCAAGGAGGAAGGGAAGGAUGACGUCAAGUCAGCAUGGCCUUUAUGUCCUGGGCUACACACACGCUACAAUGGGUGAUACAGAGGGUUGCCAAGGAGCGAUCCGGAGCCAAUCCCAGAAAAUCAUCCUCAGUUCGGAUUGCAGGCUGAAACCGCCUGCAUGAAGUCGGAGUUGCUAGUAACCGCAGGUCAGCUACACUGCGGUGAAUACGUUCUCGGUCUGU